CGCAUCUCCACUGCAAUGCGCUUUGCUCCCCAUCUAUUACCUGGCCCCACAGGUGGGCACCCACAGCUGUAAUUCAUUGCGCCGUUCCUUGAAAUAUCUGGGGCUUGGUUGAAAGUGCAGAUACAUCUGUGCCUCUGCAGGAGCUUGUGCUUCUGAGGCUCUGUGGGGACAUGGGCCUGGCUGUCCCAUUUCCCACCCUGGUCCUGCUGGGAAGCAUCCUCCUGCUCUACCACUGCCUCUGGGCUCGUGGUGCAGUGCUGCUAGGGGGGAACAAACCAGCCCUGUCUGAUGGAUAGAGGUGACCCCCAAGGCUGUAGGGACAUGGCUGGGGCUGCUUUGCCCCCACUGAGUGAUGGAAGCUGCUGUCUUCUCCUCCUGUGCCUCCAGACACCUCCGGGCUGGCUGGCCUCCAGCAGAAAGGGGUUUUGUUGGAAAAUAACAGGGAGGUUUUGAAGCAGGGGCUUUUGGGAGGAGUAUCCACAUGCAAUUUGUCUGUUUGUUUUCUUAUUGUAAAACCAAAGACAUUUCAGUUUUCAGAAACUGAUAAUUAAACAUAAAAAAAUAUUUCCUUUACCAGAAGCCACGGCUUGAACGCUUUGGUCAGCCAGGUAAAACCUUGCCUGGGCUGCCUGCGCUGGCUGGGGCUGACCUCAUGAAACCAGCCCUGGCGGGGUUUUCCCAUGGGUAAGGACACCCUUUUUCUCUUCAUUUCUGCCCAGGUCCGCAGAGCGUGAAGAUCGGCAUCAUCGGGCUUCCUCCCCAGCACCCUCUUCUUCCUCUGCUCUCUGAAACGAGGGCUGCUGGCACCCUGGCUGUCCCUGGGAGGCCCCAGGCACUGGGCUGAAUGUGUUAACUUUGGCUUUUUACCACCACCCCUUUCCCCCCGCCAUCACUCCAGAUGCCUGCGCAUCUUGUUUACCCAGCAAAAUGUGCCGGUGGAGAAAAUCAACGGGGGCACUGUCACGUGGGCCAUGGUAAACAGCCAGCAGAUGCAUUAUGUUGAUUUUGUUCCGGAGCCCUUCCAGAAGGCACCAUCCUGCUGAUGGGCUGCGCGUGGGCACCACAUCCCCCUGCCAGUCCUGCCCAAGCAGCAUCCUUGGGUGCCAUUCGGCACCGAGCACCCCAGUGAUGCCAGCGAACCAUCCUGCCCUCCUGCGCCCCGUCCCCCAGGGACCCAGGUGGCUUUGUUUCCUUCAGGGCCGUGUCAGGACCAUGGGGAAUUUGGGAGAAGGCACAUGGCCAGCACUCUGUGGUGCCUGUACAGCCUGGCGUCAGGGGAUGUCUUUCCAGGAUCACAGACUUUGGGUGUCUAUCCUUGGGCUCUUGAUAAGAUCAGACUGGCAAUGCGGUGCUGCCGGCAAAAUGCCUUCACCCAGCGCCUGUGUGGCUGUGCCAGGAGAAGAAGCGGGGACGUGUUCAGCGCCACUGGCCUCGCCGCGACCAGCGCGUGAUGGAGGUGGCUGAGACUGCGGCAGCUGCUGGCCAGGCUUGGCUCUGGCCGCUGGCCUCCUGCCUCCAGAAAGGGAGCAAUGGCUCCUCCAGCCAUGGCUUCUAAUGCAAAUAAAAAUGUAAUUUAAAAAUUAAAUUUAAA
Molecule: long non-coding RNA, 1591 nt
Filed under: Anser brachyrhynchus (Pink-footed goose)
Lineage: Eukaryota; Metazoa; Chordata; Aves; Anseriformes; Anatidae
Description: lncRNA (ENSABRG00000011507.1)
Source: RNAcentral